CAUCUCUAAACUCCACCUCUACAUAGCAUCCUCUAAACUCACACUCUCCACCUUCUCACUCAAACUUACUCUACUUCAUAUUCGACUCCCUUGCCAAACUCUUUGGAAGAGCUCGGACCUUUUAUGUUUGCUUCCAUAGAAAACUGACUUAGGCAUCAGAGGGUCUACCAUUGAGGAACGCCCCAAGUGUGAGGAUUUUUUUGUCUUUAAUGGUUUUGCAGU
This 222-nucleotide long non-coding RNA is filed under the name Elaeis guineensis (African oil palm). RNAcentral's name for it is "long non-coding RNA (EGUI_LNC012070)". The record is from RNAcentral. Lineage: Eukaryota; Viridiplantae; Streptophyta; Magnoliopsida; Arecales; Arecaceae.